RNAcentral lists this unclassified non-coding RNA (279 nucleotides) under Alternaria sp. RNAcentral describes it as "partial contains 5.8S ribosomal RNA, internal transcribed spacer 2, and large subunit ribosomal RNA". The stretch from base 1 to 71 matches the Rfam family "5.8S ribosomal RNA", at positions 84 to 154 of the family's 154-position model. Lineage: Eukaryota; Fungi; Ascomycota; Dothideomycetes; Pleosporales; Pleosporaceae. The record is from RNAcentral.
GUGAAUCAUCGAAUCUUUGAACGCACAUUGCGCCCCUUGGUAUUCCAUGGGGCAUGCCUGUUCGAGCGUCAUUUGUACCCUCAAGCUCUGCUUGGUGUUGGGUGUUUGUCCCGCAAGGGACUCGCCUUAAAGCAAUUGGCAGCCGGCAUAUUGUCUUGGAGCGCAGCACAUUUUGCGUCUUCAGGCGGUCAUGUUGGCGUCCAUUAAGCCUAUUUUCACUUUUGACCUCGGAUCAGGUAGGGAUACCCGCUGAACUUAAGCAUAUCAAUAAGCGGAGGA